GACGAACGCUGGCGGCGUGCUUAACGCAUGCAAGUCGAACGGAAAGGCCCUGCUUUUGUGGGGUGCUCGAGUGGCGAACGGGUGAGUAACACGUGAGUAACCUGCCCUUGACUGUGGGAUAACUUCAGGAAACUGGGGCUAAUACCGGAUAGGAGCUCCUGCUGCAUGGUGGGGGUUGGAAAGUUUCGGCGGUUGGGGAUGGACUCGCGGCUUAUCAGCUUGUUGGUGGGGUAGUGGCUUACCAAGGCUUUGACGGGUAGCCGGCCUGAGAGGGUGACCGGCCCCAUUGGGACUGACAUACGGCCCAGACUCCUACGGUAGGCAGCAGUGGGGAAUAUUGCACAAUGGGCGGACGCCUGAUGCAGCAACGCCGCGUGCGGGAUGACGGCCUUCGGGUUGUACCCCGCUUUCGCCUGUGACGAAGCGUGAGUGACGGUAAUGGGUAAAGAAGCACCGGCUAACUACGUG
Molecule: ribosomal RNA, 468 nt
Filed under: uncultured bacterium
Lineage: Bacteria
Description: partial 16S ribosomal RNA
Rfam family: Bacterial small subunit ribosomal RNA
Source: RNAcentral